RNAcentral lists this ribosomal RNA (598 nucleotides) under Psychrobacter maritimus. Its description in RNAcentral is "bacterial SSU rRNA". It matches the Rfam family "Bacterial small subunit ribosomal RNA", at positions 160 to 755 of the family's 1533-position model. The record is from RNAcentral. Lineage: Bacteria; Pseudomonadati; Pseudomonadota; Gammaproteobacteria; Moraxellales; Moraxellaceae.
GAAUUAAUACCGCAUACGACCUACGGGAGAAAGGGGGCAGUUUACUGCUCUCGCUAUUAGAUGAGCCUAAAUCGGAUUAGCUAGAUGGUGGGGUAAAGGCCUACCAUGGCGACGAUCUGUAGCUGGUCUGAGAGGAUGAUCAGCCACACCGGGACUGAGACACGGCCCGGACUCCUACGGGAGGCAGCAGUGGGGAAUAUUGGACAAUGGGGGCAACCCUGAUCCAGCCAUGCCGCGUGUGUGAAGAAGGCCUUUUGGUUGUAAAGCACUUUAAGCAGUGAAGAAGACUCCAUGGUUAAUACCCAUGGACGAUGACAUUAGCUGCAGAAUAAGCACCGGCUAACUCUGUGCCAGCAGCCGCGGUAAUACAGAGGGUGCAAGCGUUAAUCGGAAUUACUGGGCGUAAAGCGAGCGUAGGUGGCUUGAUAAGUCAGAUGUGAAAUCCCCGGGCUUAACCUGGGAACUGCAUCUGAUACUGUUAGGCUAGAAUAGGUGAGAGGAAGGUAGAAUUCCAGGUGUAGCGGUGAAAUGCGUAGAGAUCUGGAGGAAUACCGAUGGCGAAGGCAGCCUUCUGGCAUCAUAUUGACACUGAGGUUCG